ACUCCUACGGGAGGCAGCAGUGGGGAAUAUUGCACAAUGGGGGGAAAACCCCUGAUGCAGCCAUGCCGCGUGUGUGAAGAAGGCCUUCGGGUUGUAAAGCACUUUCAGUAGGGAGGAAGGUAGUGUAGUUAACACCUGCAUUAUUUGUACGUUACCUACAGAAGAAGCACCGGCUAACUCCGUCGCCAGCAGCCGCGGUAAGUACGGAGGGUGCGAGCGUUAAUCGGAAUUACGUGGGUACGUAAACGCGCAUGCGAGGCGGCCUGUUAAGUCAGAUGUGAAAGCCCGGGGUCGUUAACCUACGGAAUUGUCAUUUGAAACUGGCGAGGCGUACGAGUCGUU
This 342-nucleotide ribosomal RNA is filed under the name uncultured bacterium. Its description in RNAcentral is "bacterial SSU rRNA". It matches the Rfam family "Bacterial small subunit ribosomal RNA", at positions 335 to 653 of the family's 1533-position model. The record is from RNAcentral.